Molecule: transfer RNA, 72 nt
Filed under: Nippostrongylus brasiliensis
Lineage: Eukaryota; Metazoa; Nematoda; Chromadorea; Rhabditida; Heligmosomidae
Rfam family: tRNA
About the family: Transfer RNA (tRNA) molecules are approximately 80 nucleotides in length.
Source: Rfam by way of RNAcentral
AUCUCAGUAGCACAGUGGUUACUGCACAGCCCCGGAAAGGUUGAGACACGGGUUCGAUUCCCGCCUGAGGUG